GUUUUUUCAGGCUACUUCCGCGUUAUGGAGAGCUCAACAGUUCUUAACAGUGACAUUCGCGGAGUUUGCCUCAUUCACUUCCAUUGGUGUCUGCCUAACUUUGUCAGCGAUGCUGAAAGUGAUGUGACAAGACAUUGUCUUCAAUUAAGUGGUCCUUGACCAAGGAUGCAGAGGACAAGACGGGUGUGUAGUAUUGACUGAAAUUAUCAGAGAAGGUCAUUUUUUAUGGUUUAGGUCCAAACGAAGGGACCCUUCCAACCUCAGCAUCUCCAACACCUCCUGUCACACCUCCAGCCAAAUGUGAUGCAUCUUCCUCAGUUAACCUUCUUGUACUGUAGGUGUGCAUGUCCAGCAUCCUUUGCACAUUAAUGUCUUUAGUUGUACACACGGUACGGUUGUUCAGAUUUGGGAAUCUGAAAUGUUUUUCAGAAUGUCUUUGAAAAUAUAAAUGGGUGUUAACCCUCCUGUUUAUAUUGCAGUCUCACCAUAUCUCCCUUAAGCCUUUUCUGUGUGUA
Molecule: long non-coding RNA, 515 nt
Organism: Sardina pilchardus (European sardine)
Lineage: Eukaryota; Metazoa; Chordata; Actinopteri; Clupeiformes; Clupeidae
Exons: 3
Source: RefSeq, a predicted model, not a curated record